RNAcentral lists this transfer RNA (74 nucleotides) under Escherichia coli. RNAcentral describes it as "tRNA-Und (NNN) (tRNA-Und-NNN-1-1, tRNA-Und-NNN-2-1)". RNAcentral also lists the same sequence under 10 other names. The record is from RNAcentral. Lineage: Bacteria; Pseudomonadati; Pseudomonadota; Gammaproteobacteria; Enterobacterales; Enterobacteriaceae.
UUUGUUGACUUAAAAUGUCGUUCUAGGAACUUCUAAGUCGUGGGCCGCAGGUUCGAAUCCUGCAGGGCGCGCCA